UACGUAGGGUGCGAGCGUUAAUCGGAAUUACUGGGCGUAAAGCGUGCGCAGGCGGUUCGCCAAGUCAGGUGUGAAAUCCCCGGGCUUAACCUGGGAAUUGCGCUUGAAACUAGCGGGCUUGAGUGUGGCAGAGGGGGGUGGAAUUCCACGUGUAGCAGUGAAAUGCGUAGAGAUGCGGAGGAACACCGAUGGCGAAGGCAGCCCCCUGGGCCAAUACUGACGCUCAGGCACGAAAGCGUGGGGAGCAAACAGG
This 253-nucleotide ribosomal RNA is filed under the name uncultured bacterium. RNAcentral's name for it is "partial 16S ribosomal RNA". It matches the Rfam family "Bacterial small subunit ribosomal RNA", at positions 524 to 776 of the family's 1533-position model. The record is from RNAcentral.